GAGCUUCAGAGAUUAAAAUGUUUCUGAAACGGAGCAGGAUUGUGUGGUCCUUGCUCCCUCACCAUGUCUUCUGCCUGCCUUUUGCCUGUGGAAGACUUUAGUCAAAGAAUCAUCAAAGAAGUGAGAAAAUGCUGAAACAAAGGAAAACAGUCAAAGGAGACCAAAUGAUAAUAAUGUAGUCAUUAAGCACAGUCAAGGACCUUUAGUUCUUUCUCAAGGUCUAUAGAUAAUAUUCUGAGCCGUAUCCUGUGAGCUGUUAUAUAGAUACUGAAACACCAGGUGGGGAACUUAACUACAUGAUGACCAGCCGGUACCCAGGAUACGAGCUGCCACGAUUCUGAGAACUGAUCACAAAGAAAUGGGAACAAAUGGACCCUGGAAGUGAAGAGUAACUGAACCUAAAAGAAGAUUCUUUCCCCUUCCACAUUACUACAAAAUAUUGAGUAUAUUUCCCUGUGCUAUACACACCUGCAGGAGCACAGUAGCCAAGGCUGGAACAAUUUGAACAACCAAAUAAAGCAGUAUUAGGUUAUAAGCCAAAAUAUACAAUAAAUAAUAUCAGUUUGUAUUGACAUCAAUAAAUAUUGAAUGAAUGAAUACCUGGGCACUAAUAGGCAAAAUCUAUUUCCUGUUACCCAGUCCACAGAGCACUCUGUUCCUCUGAAAUUCGAUUUUGGAAUUACAAGAUGCUGUUAGUGCUGUUGAUGAAGUUUCUGAAAGAUUUUUUGGAGACAAAAAAUACACAUAUUUGUAUCUUCAGAAACAAUUUGUUUCAUGGAAAACAAAUGUAUAUAUAUAUAUAUAUUUAACAAUUAAUUUUUGUUUUUUGAAAUCAUGGCAAGACAUAUAACUAAAUUACACCUUUUUUUUUUUUUUUUU
Molecule: long non-coding RNA, 879 nt
Organism: Bos taurus (domestic cattle)
Lineage: Eukaryota; Metazoa; Chordata; Mammalia; Artiodactyla; Bovidae
Source: Ensembl